UGGGGAAUAUUGGACAAUGGGCGCAAGCCUGAUCCAGCAAUGCUGCGUGAGUGAUGAAGGCCUUAGGGUUGUAAAGCUCUUUCGCACGCGACGAUGAUGACGGUAGCGUGAGAAGAAGCCCCGGCUAACUUCGUGCCAGCAGCCGCGGUAAUACGAAGGGGGCUAGCGUUGUUCGGAAUUACUGGGCGUAAAGGGCGCGUAGGCGGCCUGUUUAGUCAGAAGCGAAAGCCCCGGGCUCAACCUGGGAAUAGCUUUUGAUACUGGCAGGCUUGAGUUCCGGAGAGGAUGGUGGAAUUCCCAGUGUAGAGGUGAAAUUCGUAGAUAUUGGGAAGAACACCGGUGGCGAAGGCGGCCAUCUGGACGGACACUGACGCUGAGGCGCGAAAGCGUGGGGAGCAAACAGGAUUAGAUACCCUGGUAGUCCACGCGUAAACGAUGAAUGCUNGACGUCGGGGUGCAUGCACUUCGGUGUCGCCGCUAACGCAUUAAGCAUUCCGCCUGGGGAGUACGGCCGCAAGGUUAAAACUCAAAUGAAUUGACGGGGUCAUAGCUGUUUCCU
Molecule: ribosomal RNA, 559 nt
Filed under: uncultured bacterium
Lineage: Bacteria
Description: partial 16S ribosomal RNA
Rfam family: Bacterial small subunit ribosomal RNA
Source: RNAcentral